AGGCACUUCCGGGCGCGGAACCUGCGUCUCCUGUCUCCUUCCGGGUGAGGUGGGUGUCCCUUGGGUCGCCGCCCACCGUGCCUGGCGUUCAGUGAGUCACCGGCUUUAUUAUAAAAACGAUGCUGCUGAGAUGUGAGGAGGACUAGACCGCUCAUUAGCAGCAGGUCUAGAGAAUUCGAAGUUAAAUCCAGACCCACUGCCUCCACGUUCAUCAUCUCACUGCCCUGCACUUUGACAGCUGAUGUGGAGGACCUGGGAGGAUAUGGCCGCAGGACGCAACAGUCUCCUCAGCUCUGGGGAGCAGAGCAUGGUCCUGGCAAAUAAGAAGCUCACACAUUAUCGGGGAGGACCUCUCUGUCCAGGAACAUCCCUAAUGAGGUACAGAAAGGCACUUACCACCCAGACACAGACAUUCCGCUGCUGUGAGAACCGCAGACGGAAGUUUUCUCUGCCUCCUGGAGACGAAGCCAAGCUUUCUCCUCGCGGAAGCCAUGAGGAUUGCUGUCUUCCUCUGGACCAUUCUUCUCUCUCUGAGCCAAGUUCCACCAGCCGGGGGCAAAUUCAAGGAGAUCUGUGAGCGUCCAAACGGCUCCUGCCAAGUAUUCUGCCUCGAAACAGAAGUCCAGGCUGGGAGAUGUCUAAGCGGCAAGCCGUGCUGCCUGCCCAUGGGACAUGAACCACGGAUCGACCCGACGAUACCCCCUCAGUACUGAGGCCUUUCAAAGGGUUUUGCUUGUUUGGAUGUUUCAUUCUCUGGUUCUCCAUCCCCAUCUCUCACUGUCUUGUCUGUCACAGGGAUUCUUGCUGAGUCCUCAAUAAAUAAUAAAGAAGCACUCGCAAACACAGAGCCACUGUGUACACCCAUGUGCUCUAUUCUCGCUG
Myotis davidii is the source of this 882-nucleotide long non-coding RNA. RefSeq lists it as uncharacterized. NCBI's taxonomy places the organism in Eukaryota, Metazoa, Chordata, Mammalia, Chiroptera, Vespertilionidae. The record is from RefSeq and is a predicted model, not a curated record. The transcript has 4 exons.